UGGGGAAUCUUGGACAAUGGGUGAGAGCCUGAUCCAGCCAUGCCGCGUGCAGGAAGAAGGCCUUCGGGUUGUAAAGCUCUUUUACCAGGGACGAUAAUGACGGUACCUGGAGAAUAAGCCCCGGCAAACUUCGUGCCAGCAGCCGCGGUAAUACGAAGGGGGCUAGCGUUGUUCGGAAUUACUGGGCGUAAAGCGCACGUAGGCGGAUUGUUAAGUCAGAGGUGAAAUCCCGGAGCUCAACUUCGGAACUGCCUUUGAUACUGGCAAUCUAGAGUCCGGAAGAGGUUAGUGGAAUUCCCAGUGUAGAGGUGAAAUUCGUAGAUAUUGGGAAGAACACCAGUGGCGAAGGCGGCUAACUGGUCCGGUACUGACGCUGAGGUGCGAAAGCGUGGGGAGCAAACAGGAUUAGAUACCCAAGUAGUCCCUGAGCGGGCUGGCAAGGCGCAU
This 447-nucleotide ribosomal RNA is filed under the name uncultured bacterium. RNAcentral's name for it is "bacterial SSU rRNA". It matches the Rfam family "Bacterial small subunit ribosomal RNA", at positions 355 to 825 of the family's 1533-position model. The record is from RNAcentral.